Molecule: ribosomal RNA, 744 nt
Filed under: uncultured bacterium
Lineage: Bacteria
Description: bacterial SSU rRNA
Rfam family: Bacterial small subunit ribosomal RNA
Source: RNAcentral
GCUGGCGGCGUGCCUAAUACAUGCAAGUCGAGCGAACGGACGAGAAGCUUGCUUCUCUGAUGUUAGCGGCGGACGGGUGAGUAACACGUGGAUAACCUACCUAUAAGACUGGGAUAACUUCGGGAAACCGGAGCUAAUACCGGAUAAUAUUUUGAACCGCAUGGUUCAAAAGUGAAAGACGGUCUUGCUGUCACUUAUAGAUGGAUCCGCGCUGCAUUAGCUAGUUGGUAAGGUAACGGCUUACCAAGGCAACGAUGCAUAGCCGACCUGAGAGGGUGAUCGGCCACACUGGAACUGAGACACGGUCCAGACUCCUACGGGAGGCAGCAGUAGGGAAUCUUCCGCAAUGGGCGAAAGCCUGACGGAGCAACGCCGCGUGAGUGAUGAAGGUCUUCGGAUCGUAAAACUCUGUUAUUAGGGAAGAACAUAUGUGUAAGUAACUGUGCACAUCUUGACGGUACCUAAUCAGAAAGCCACGGCUAACUACGUGCCAGCAGCCGCGGUAAUACGUAGGUGGCAAGCGUUAUCCGGAAUUAUUGGGCGUAAAGCGCGCGUAGGCGGUUUUUUAAGUCUGAUGUGAAAGCCCACGGCUCAACCGUGGAGGGUCAUUGGAAACUGGAAAACUUGAGUGCAGAAGAGGAAAGUGGAAUUCCAUGUGUAGCGGUGAAAUGCGCAGAGAUAUGGAGGAACACCAGUGGCGAAGGCGACUUUCUGGUCUGUAACUGACGCUGAUGUGCGAAAGCG